RNAcentral lists this transfer RNA (72 nucleotides) under Bos taurus (domestic cattle). It matches the Rfam family "tRNA". Rfam says of the family: Transfer RNA (tRNA) molecules are approximately 80 nucleotides in length. Their secondary structure includes four short double-helical elements and three loops (D, anti-codon, and T loops). Further hydrogen bonds mediate the characteristic L-shaped molecular structure. tRNAs have two regions of fundamental functional importance: the anti-codon, which is responsible for specific mRNA codon recognition, and the 3' end, to which the tRNAs corresponding amino acid is attached (by aminoacyl-tRNA synthetases). tRNAs cope with the degeneracy of the genetic code in two manners: having more than one tRNA (with a specific anti-codon) for a particular amino acid; and 'wobble' base-pairing, i.e. permitting non-standard base-pairing at the 3rd anti-codon position. RNAcentral also lists the same sequence under 5 other names. The record is from Rfam by way of RNAcentral. Lineage: Eukaryota; Metazoa; Chordata; Mammalia; Artiodactyla; Bovidae.
UCCCUUGUAGCUCAGUCGGUAAAGAAUCUGCCUGCAAUGCAGAAGACCUGGGUUCAAUUCCUGGGUUGGGAG